GGCGUCAGGACGAACGCUGGCGGCGUGCCUAAUACAUGCAAGUCGAACGGCUUUUCUAUGGAAGCUUGCUUCCACUGAGAAGAUAGUGGCGAACGGGUGAGGUAACACGUGGGUAACCUGCCCAUAAGAGGGGGAUAACAUCCGGAAACGGGUGCUAAUACCGCAUAGUUUUCUUGAUUGCGUGAUUGAGAAAGGAAAGACGGCCUUUGUGCUGUCGCUUAUGGAUGGACCCGCGGCGUAUUAGUUAGUUGGUGAGGUAACGGCUCACCAAGACGAUGAUACGUAGCCGACCUGAGAGGGUGAUCGGCCACAUUGGGACUGAGACACGGCCCAAACUCCUACGGGAGGCAGCAGUAGGGAAUCUUCCGCAAUGGACGAAAGUCUGACGGAGCAACGCCGCGUGAGUGAAAGAAGGUUUUCGGAUCGUAAAACUCUGUUGUCAGAGAAGAACAAGUUGGAGAGUAACUGCUCCAGCCUUGACGGUAUCUGACCAGAAAGCCACGGCUAACUACGUGCCAGCCGCGGC
This 526-nucleotide ribosomal RNA is filed under the name uncultured bacterium. Its description in RNAcentral is "bacterial SSU rRNA". It matches the Rfam family "Bacterial small subunit ribosomal RNA", at positions 20 to 518 of the family's 1533-position model. The record is from RNAcentral.